RNAcentral lists this ribosomal RNA (208 nucleotides) under uncultured bacterium. RNAcentral describes it as "partial 16S ribosomal RNA". It matches the Rfam family "Bacterial small subunit ribosomal RNA", at positions 568 to 774 of the family's 1533-position model. The record is from RNAcentral.
UUUGUAGGUGGCUUGCUAAGUCACACGUGAAAUCCCUCGGCUUAACCGGGGAACUGCGUGUGAAACUGGCGAGCUUGAGGACAGGAGAGGAACGCGGAAUUCCAGGUGUAGCGGUGAAAUGCGUAGAUAUCUGGAGGAACACCGGUGGCGAAGGCGGCGUUCUGGACUGUUUCUGACACUGAUAAACGAAAGCCAGGGGAAGCAAACG